UCCGGUGUGGUCUAGUGGCUAGGAUUUCUCGCUCUCACGUGAUCAGUAACAUGAUCUAGCAUGGCCCGAGGAGGCAGGGGUUCAAUUCCCCGCACCGGAA
Non-coding RNA from Recurvomyces mirabilis, 100 nucleotides. NCBI's taxonomy places the organism in Eukaryota, Fungi, Ascomycota, Dothideomycetes, Mycosphaerellales, Teratosphaeriaceae. The record is from the annotation of a RefSeq genome assembly.